UACACGACCGUACCGCAAACCGACACUGGUGCGCGAGAUGAGUAUUCUAAGGCGCUUGAGAGAACUCAGGAGAAGGAACUCGGCAAAUUGACACCGUAACUUCGGAAGAAGGUGUGCCUUUAGUAGGUGAACCAUUUACUUGGGGAGCCCAAUGAGGCUGCAAAAAAUCGGUGGCUGCAACUGUUUAUUAAAAACACAGCACUCUGCUAAGACGAAAGUCGACGUAUAGGGUGUGACGCCUGCCCGGUGCUGGAAGAUUAAAUGAUGGGGUGCAAGCUCUUGAUUGAAGUCCCAGUAAACGGCGGCCGUAACGAUAACGGUCCUAAGGUAGCGAAAUUCCUUGUCGGGUAAGUUCCGACCUGCACGAAUGGCGUAAUGAUGGCCACACUGUCUCCUCCUGAGACUCAGCGAAGUUGAAAUGUUUGUGAUGAUGCAAUCUCCCCGCGGAAAGACGGAAAGACCCCAUGAACCUUUACUGUAGCUUUGUAUUGGACUUUGAACAGAUCUGUGUAGGAUAGGUGGGAGGCUUUGAAGUGUGGUCGCUAGAUCGCAUGGAGCCAACGUUGAAAUACCACCCUGGUGUGUUUGAGGUUCUAACCUAGGUCCAUUAUCUGGAUCGGGGACAGUGCAUGGUAGGCAGUUUGACUGGGGCGGUCUCCUCCCAAAGUGUAACGGAGGAGUUCGAAGGUACGCUAGGUACGGUCGGACAUCGUGCUAAUAGUGCAAUGGCAUAAGCGUGCUUAACUGCGAGACUGACAAGUCGAGCAGAUGCGAAAGCAGGACAUAGUGAUCCGGUGGUUCUGUAUGGAAGGGCCAUCGCUCAACGGAUAAAAGGUACUCUGGGGAUAACAGGCUGAUACCGCCCAAGAGUUCAUAUCGACGGCGGUGUUUGGCACCUCGAUGUCGGCUCAUCUCAUCCUGGGGCUGUAGCCGGUCCCAAGGGUAUGGCUGUUCGCCAUUUAAAGAGGUACGUGAGCUGGGUUUAAAACGUCGUGAGACAGUUUGGUCCCUAUCUUCCGUGGGCGCUGCAGAUUUGAGGAAGCCUGCUCCUAGUACGAGAGGACCGGAGUGGACGAACCUCUGGUGUAUCGGUUGUCACGCCAGUGGCAUUGCCGAGUAGCUAAGUUCGGAAGAGAUAACCGCUGAAAGCAUCUAAGCGGGAAACUCGUUUCAAGAUUAGAUCUGCCGGGGCCUUGAGCCCCCUAAAGAGUCGUUCAAGACCAGGACGUUGAUAGGUCAGGUGUGGAAGUG
Molecule: ribosomal RNA, 1251 nt
Filed under: metagenome
Description: bacterial LSU rRNA
Rfam family: Bacterial large subunit ribosomal RNA
Source: RNAcentral